GUUGCCAGAUCACCAGUUGUCCUUCCCUGCACCACUUUGGUAGGUACUAACCACUGCAUACUGUAAACACCCCACAAGACUUGCAUUUUUGGAGGUGCUUUGACUCAGUCAUCUAGCCAUCACUAUUUGACCAUUGUUAUAGUCACACAGAUCUUUUUGCUUGCUCAUUUUUUCUGCUUCCAGCACAUGAAAUUCAAGAACUGACUGUUCAAUUGCUGCCCAUGGAUAGGUGCCAUUGUAAAAAUUUAAUCAAUGUUAUUCACUUCACAUGUCAGUGGUUAUGGCUGAUCAGUGUAUAUAUGCAAUAGAUAAUAAGCCUUCUAAUAGUAUGCAUAUAAGUAUAUUUAUUUUGAAAUAUUAAAAACCAUGACCUUAAUUUAAAU
Molecule: non-coding RNA, 383 nt
Organism: Pelobates cultripes (western spadefoot toad)
Lineage: Eukaryota; Metazoa; Chordata; Amphibia; Anura; Pelobatidae
Source: the annotation of a GenBank genome assembly